This 369-nucleotide ribosomal RNA is filed under the name uncultured bacterium. RNAcentral's name for it is "bacterial SSU rRNA". It matches the Rfam family "Bacterial small subunit ribosomal RNA", at positions 28 to 396 of the family's 1533-position model. The record is from RNAcentral.
GACGAACGCUGGCGGCGUGCUUAACACAUGCAAGUCGAGCGGUAAGGCCCUUUCGGGGGUACACGAGCGGCGAACGGGUGAGUAACACGUGGGUGACCUGCCCUUAGCUCUGGGAUAAGCCUGGGAAACUGGGUCUAAUACCGGAUAUGACUCCAUGACGCAUGUUGGUGGGGUGGAAAGCCUUGUGCGGCUAGGGAGUGGGCCCGCGGCCUAUCAGCUUGUUGGUGGGGUGAUGGCCUACCAAGGCGACGACGGGUAGCCGGCCUGAGAGGGCGACCGGCCACACUGGGACUGAGACACGGCCCAGACUCCUACGGGAGGCAGCAGUGGGGAAUCUUGCGCAAUGGGCGAAAGCCUGACGCAGCGACG